RNAcentral lists this long non-coding RNA (4549 nucleotides) under Sus scrofa (pig). RNAcentral's name for it is "lncRNA (ENSSSCG00065070071.1)". Lineage: Eukaryota; Metazoa; Chordata; Mammalia; Artiodactyla; Suidae. The record is from RNAcentral.
AAUCCUUUAUUAUUGAAUAAACAAAGGGGCAGAUGACAGGAAACACCUUACACUUGUUGCUUCUGUUCUCUUUCUUUCCUGGGGAGAUCAUCCACAAAAAAAUAUUAUACAGAAUUGACCACAUCCCCAGAUCCUGGAUGGGUCCUGAUUAAAAUAAGCCAAUUUGCAUCUUGGGGUUUUUAAACUCAUCAUCUUAACAAGCACAUCCCAAGUCAUCAUACUGCUUGUGAAGACUCCCUAAUAGACAACCAAGUAAAGAUACCAUAAUUUUCUUUCCAUAUUGUAGAUGACUUAAAUUGGGUCCAUUUUUAAAGUCUUAUCAAUAUAUUGGGGACUAAAUAGCCUUAUGCAUAAAACUUUAUUCCAUAUUUGAAUGUAUUUACGUAGGAAAUAGAUUCCUAGAAAAGGAUUAUCUUGGUCAAAGGCUAAGACCAUUUUAAGGUUCCUUAUGUAUAUUAGCACCAUGUAUAACAUGUCCUUACGCCCUCUGCUUUGUGUAUUUUGAGGCUCUUGAUGAAUCUCUUUCAAAUGAGCAGGCGUCUGAAAGGCAACAUUCCCUCUCAUCACUCCUGAAACCCAGGCAUUGAUAAGACAGCUCUGUCGACAUAGUGGUGAUUUAAGUGAGUUGUACUGCUCAGGACUCAUGGCAUCAUUGCAAAUGCCACACCUAUGCAGUUAGAACAGCUGUGGAAUAACAAACGACGUCUCUGCCGGAGGAGAAACCAACUACAGAGCUCUAGUGAGAAGGAACCAGCUAAGUGUGGUCCCAGGAUGACACCAACAUCUCACCUUCUCUGGCUGUGGAAACCACUUCCCCAUAAACAGCCCCAGUCAAGUGAGAACUUGAACUAUUCUUGCAAAUACCCUGAACCCUGUGGUUACCCAAGACCCCUCUUACAUACACAAGUCAACAAGGCACCAUUGUACUUAAAAACUUCCUUUUUCAUCACCCCCAGUUUCCAUCUCCCCACGGUCCACAGCUUAUGCCUUAAGAGUAAGAGACAUCGCUUGGACCCCAGAAGGAGGCUGAUAACAGCGAGUUGUUCUGGCCCUCACUCUUGAGCCCUUACCAUCCUCCCCAAGGCCCUGUUCUCAGUCCUCCUGCUGCCAUCCGCUGUUGUCCCCUGGAGUAGGUGGAGGAGUAGAAAGACCUUAAGCUCACCUCCUCUCACGGGCACACCAAGAUUACAACUGUUUACAGAACACCUAUUAAUGAAAAAGACCAGAAUCUACCCAAAAGGAUCCCUUACAACUAAAGAUUUAAAGAAGGAACCACAGCAAGACAGGAAGGGAGGAGUCACAGUGCAGUCAAGAUUCAUACACCCAGGUGGGCAACCCACAAACUGAAGAAUAAUUACAGUGACAGAGGUUCUCCCAAAGAGUACAGGGUCAGAGCCUCACAUUGGGCCCCCAAGCCCAGGGGUCCUGGGCCAGAAAAACAAGCCCCUAGAACAUCUGUCUUUGAAGGCCAAGGGGGCUUAAUUUCGGGGAUUUCCAGAGGGCUUGGGAAAUAGAGACUCCAUUCUUAAAGGGCACGCACAAAAUCUCCAUUCAGAUUGCAGGGCCUGGAACAGAAGCAAUGAUCUGAUAGGAGCCUAGGUCAGACCUUCCUGCUGAUCUCAGAGAGUCUCCCGGAGAGCCAGGAGGUGACUAGAGCUCACCGUAGGGACACAGACACUAGAAGGAGCCAUUUGGGGGAGUUUUUCCUACCACAUGGACACUGAUGCUGGCAAGUGCCAUUUUGGAAUCCUCCCUCUGGCUUAUUAGCCUCAGGAUCAAGUUCCACCCCUACCCAUCAGCCCAUAGGCACCAGUACUGGGACACCACAAGGCAAGCUACUAACUGGGCAGGGACACAGCCCUACUCAUCACCAGAUAGGCUGCCUUAAGACUACCUGAGUCCAUGGCCUCCCAUGGACAUGGCCCUACCUACCAGAGGGCCAAGAACCAGGCCUCAUACACUAGUGAGCAGACACCAGAUCCAGGACCCUCAGAGUCCUGUAGCCAGAGACCCUGGGACCCAGUUCCACCCAUCAGUGGGCAGGCACCAGCCUCAGAACCUCCAGCCUCUCCACCAGCAAGCCCGCCCUAGACUUAGGACCAAUCUUAACCACCAGUGAACGGACACAAGCCCCAAGAAAACCUCAGCCCUAUACCUGUGGACCUAUCCCACCCACCAACAGGCCAGCAUCAACCUCAGACUAACUGGGCCCUGGCCCUGACUACUGGUGAGCCUUGUCUAACUUCAGGACCAGCCUCACCCAGCACCAGGUAUAUACCAAGCCCACAAAAACCGCAUCUCUGUAGCCUGAAGACCCAGCCCACCCACCAGCAGGCCAGCACCAUCCCUAGGACUGACUGGGCCCAGGCCUCACCCACCGGCAUGCUAACACAAGCUUCAGGAUACUCUACACCCCAUAGCCAGCUGUGUCACUAAUCAGUCCCACCCACCAGCAGUCUGACACCAGCUCUGGGACCCCUGGGCCCUGCAGCCAGACCUCAGGACUGCCUCUGCCUACCUUUGGGCCAGCACUAGCCCGAGGAACUGGAUUCACCCACUGGUGGUUGGGCACUAGCCCAGGGAUCCCCUCUACCCAAACUCUACCCACAAGUGAGCCAGCAUGAGCCCUGGGACCCCCUAGGGUUCUGCAACCAGCCUGACCCUUGCCCCUGCCCCAUGACUCAGCCACCCAAGCAGUGGAGGGCACCCUCUACACAAGGGAGAGCCUAGUAACCAACUGGACCAGGAGCCAGCCAAGCCUACAGACCACCCACAAUAAUUAUACCACCACAGCAGAAGGACCCAAGCAGCCCAUGUAGGAACAUUCCUGGAACAUAUAGUUCUAGUGACUAGAGGAGAGUGUGCCACUGGGGUGCAUAGGAAGCUCCUACAAAAGGUCACUUCUCCAAGGUCAGGAAACAUAACCAACUUACUAGAUACACAGAAAUCAAAACAGUGAGUUAGACAAGAUGAGGGGACAAAGGAACAUGUUCUAAACAAAGGAAUAAGAUAAACCCCAGAAGAACAAAGUGAAGUGGAAAUAGCCAAUCUACCUAAGGAGUAAUUCAAGGUAAUUAUUGUAUAUAGGAUUAAAUAGCUUAGGAAGCAUGGACAAACAGAGUGAGUAAUUAGAAGUUUUUAAGAAAGUAACAAAAGAGUUAGAAAAUAUAAGGAACAACCAAACAGAGAUAAAGAAUAGCUGAAAUGAAAAAUACACUAGAAGGAGUUGACAGUAGACUAAAUGAUACAGAGGAAUGGAUCAGCAAGCUGGAAGACAGAGUAGAGGAAAUCACUGAAAACAGAAAAAAAGAAUGUUUAAAAAUGAGGAGAGUUUAAGAGACCUCUGAAACAACACCAAGCACAAUAAUAUUUGCAUUAUACUGGUACCAGAAGGCAAAGAGAGAGAGGGAAAAGAGCAGAGAAUAUAUUUAAAGACAUAAUAGUUGAAAACUUCCCUAACCUGGAAAAGGAAACAGACAUCCAAGUCCAGGAAGAACAGAGAGUCCCAAACAAGACCAGCCCAAAGAGAACCACACCAUAACAUAUUGUAAUUAAAACCACAAAAAUUAAGGAGACUACGAAAAGCAGCAAGGCAAGGAGUUCCCAUCAUGGCACAGCAGAAAUGAAUCCAACUAGGAACUGUGAGGUUGCAGGUUUGAUCCCUGGCCUUGCUCAGUGGUGGGUUAAGGGUCUGGCAUUCUCAUGAGCUGUGGUGUAAAUUGCAGACACAUUUCAGAUCCUGCAUUGCUGUGGCUGUGGUAUAGGCCAGCAGCCACAGCUCUGAUUUGACUCCUAGCCUGGGAUCCUCCAUAUGCUUCAGGUGUGCCCCUAAAAAAACAAACAAAAAAUACUCUAUCUGGCAGGCUCUCAUUCAGAUUUGAUAGAGAGAUCAAAAGUUUACAGGGAAGCAAAAGUUCAAAGAGUUCAGCACUACCAAAUCAGCUUUGCAAGAAAUAUUAAAAGGAUAUCUCUAAACAAAAAAGAAAAGGCUAUAACUGGAAAUGUAAAAUUGGCAAAGACAAACAUAUAGUAAAGGUAGUAAAUCAACCAUAUACAUAGUUAGUAUGAAGGUUAAAAGACAAAAUAAAAUCAUUCAUAUCCACAAUAACCAGUUAAAGGAUACAAAAAACAAUUAGCUGUGAAACAUGAUGCCAAAAUCAAUAAUCAUGAGGGGAGGAGACUAAAAAUGUAGAGUUACUGAAAUGUGUUUGAUAUUAAGAGGUCAGCAACUUAAAAUCAUUACGUGUGUAUGUGGACUGCUAUACAUAAACCUCAUGGUAAUCACAGACCAAAAAUUGGUAAUACACACACACACACCCCAGAAAAGAAUCCAAACAUAACACUAAAGAUAAUCAUCAAAUCAUAAAGGAAGAGAACAAAAGGAGAAUAAACCAACAAAAGAGAACUAUGAGAACAGGAGUUCCUGCCAUGGUGCAGUGGGUAAAGGAUCUAGCAUUGCAUAAGUUGCAGCUGUGGUUCAGAUUCAAUCCUUGGCCCAGGAACUUCCAUAUGCUAUAGGCGUGGCCAUAAAAUUAAAAAAAAAAAAAAA